This 432-nucleotide ribosomal RNA is filed under the name uncultured bacterium. RNAcentral's name for it is "partial 16S ribosomal RNA". It matches the Rfam family "Bacterial small subunit ribosomal RNA", at positions 29 to 506 of the family's 1533-position model. The record is from RNAcentral.
AACGAACGCUGGCGGCAUGCCUAACACAUGCAAGUCGAACGAGACCUUCGGGUCUAGUGGCGCACGGGUGCGUAACGCGUGGGAACCUGCCCUUAGGUUCGGAAUAACUCCCCGAAAGGGGUGCUAAUACCGGAUAAUGUCUUCGGACCAAAGAUUUAUCGCCUUUGGAUGGGCCCGCGUUGGAUUAGCUAGUUGGUAGGGUAAAAGCCUACCAAGGCGACGAUCCAUAGCUGGUCUGAGAGGAUGAUCAGCCACACUGGGACUGAGACACGGCCCAGACUCUUACGGGAGGCAGCAGUGGGGAAUAUUGGACAAUGGGCGAAAGCCUGAUCCAGCAAUGCCGCGUGAGUGAUGAAGGCCUUAGGGUUGUAAAGCUCUUUUACCCGGGAUGAUAAUGACAGUACCGGGAGAAUAAGCUCCGGCUAACUCCGU